GUCCCCAUCUAAGUGCCCUGGAACGGGACGUCAUAGAGGGUGAGAAUCCCGUAUGGGAUGGGGUGUCCGCGCCCGUGUGAAGCUCCUUCGACGAGUCGAGUUGUUUGGGAAUGCAGCUCUAAAUGGGUGGUAAAUUUCAUCUAAAGCUAAAUAUUGGCCGGAGACCGAUAGCGCACAAGUAGAGUGAUCGAAAGAUGAAAAGCACUUUGAAAAGAGAGUUAAAAAGCACGUGAAAUUGUUGAAAGGGAAGCGCUUGCGACCAGACUCGCUC
Molecule: ribosomal RNA, 271 nt
Filed under: uncultured Pelagophyceae
Lineage: Eukaryota; Pelagophyceae
Description: partial Eukaryotic large subunit ribosomal RNA
Rfam family: Eukaryotic large subunit ribosomal RNA
Source: RNAcentral